This is a small nuclear RNA of Phodopus roborovskii (desert hamster), 165 nucleotides long. RefSeq annotates it as U1 spliceosomal RNA. The record is from RefSeq and is a predicted model, not a curated record. NCBI's taxonomy places the organism in Eukaryota, Metazoa, Chordata, Mammalia, Rodentia, Cricetidae. The transcript has a single exon.
AUACUUACCUGGAAGGAGAGAUACUGUAAUCACAAAGAUGCUUUUUACAUGCCAAGGCUAACUAUUUUACACUCCAGAUAUGCUGACCUCUGCUAUUUCCCCAAAUGCAGGAAAUUUGACUGUGUAAUUUGUGGUUGUAGAGGACUGCAUUCAUGCUCUCCCCGU